GGCGGCAUAGCCAAGCGGCAAGGCAGAGGACUGCAAAUCCUUUAUCCCCGGUUCGAAUCCGGGUGCCGCCUCCA
Molecule: transfer RNA, 74 nt
Filed under: Candidatus Aerophobota bacterium
Lineage: Bacteria; Candidatus Aerophobota
Also listed under: 1 other name
Description: Candidatus Aerophobetes bacterium tRNA-Cys
Rfam family: tRNA
About the family: Transfer RNA (tRNA) molecules are approximately 80 nucleotides in length. Their secondary structure includes four short double-helical elements and three loops (D, anti-codon, and T loops).
Source: RNAcentral